This 2971-nucleotide ribosomal RNA is filed under the name Picea glauca (white spruce). RNAcentral describes it as "eukaryotic LSU rRNA". The stretch from base 1504 to 2971 matches the Rfam family "Eukaryotic large subunit ribosomal RNA", at positions 1891 to 3368 of the family's 3401-position model. Lineage: Eukaryota; Viridiplantae; Streptophyta; Pinopsida; Pinales; Pinaceae. The record is from RNAcentral.
UCGACUUUUGGCCGGUGACUUCUCCGCUCCGGUGUCUGACUGCUGUCGCUUGCCUUAUUCAUUGGAUGAUCAUUGGGUGUCAUUUGUAAAGGGGAAAGAGGAGGUGGGUUUCCUACCAGCAGAUGUGCUUUCAGGUUGGUGUCGGUCGCUUUUUCGGUUUGUGGGCAAGAGGAGGAGGAGGAGGAGGGUUUCAUUCCAGUAGAUGUGAUUUUUAGGUUGGCAUUAGUUGCUUCUCAGUAAGAGGCCCUGCACCCUCUUUUCCUUGGGAGUGCUUCAUUGUAGUUGCGACCCUCGGUUAGUCCAGUGUUGAUUUUUGCUAGGCGACUUCUCCACCUCGGCAUCCGAAUUCUGUUGCUUGCACCCAUCGCGGGGUGUCCGUUCGUUGUUGGACGUGGUUUUCUCAGGGGCAGACAGGCGGUGGGUUCCCUUUCGGUGGGUGUGCUUAUGGGUAAGAGAACUCAGAUCCUCUUUCCUUGCGAGUGUCGGGUGGUUUUGGGUAAGUAAGAGAACUCACAUCCUCUUUCCUUGCGAGUGCUUUGAUGUCCUUUUUUUGCGGUCCUUGGUUUGUUUGGCGAUGAUUUUUGGGCAGCGGCUUCUCCAUGCCCGCGUUUGAAAGCUGUCACUAUCCAUCAUCAUCAUUGGAAUGUUGUUGGGCCAUGGGGUGUCAUUUGUACUGGGGGAAAGGGCGGGUGGGCUCUCUCUCUCUCUGUUUGAAUGUAACUUGUGCUCAUUUUUCUUUUGCUUUGUUGAAAGGGGAAAUUUUCGGGAAUCGGUCUUGUGGAGGGAUGAAAGCAGCACACUGUUGGGACUGGCCACCCUAGUCCCCCCUGAUCAUCGUUCCCUACAAUUUCCCCUUGCAGUUGAGUCUUGGUAAAGAUUUCUUUGUUUGUUUGACCCUCUUGUGGAAUGGGUAGUGAAUUUGUGUCUUGUGGCCCUCGGGUUGGACAACUUGUGCUUGUUUUUCCUUUUCUCCAUCGGAAAGGGGAAUUGCGGGGAAUCGGUGUUUUAGAGGGAUGAAAGCAGUGCGCUAUUGGACUGGCCACCCUAGUCCCCCCUUCAUCCUCAUUCCCUUCAACUCCCCCUCUCGAGUUGAGGUCAUGGAAAGCUUUCUCUGUUUGUUCGAGCCUCCUGUGUACAGCGGGGGAGUGCAUCUGUCUUGUGGGGUGGGAGGGUUGUUGUCGUUUGCGAUGCUAUGUGCAUCAUGGGAUUUUCCAUUUUGGUCACAUGGACGCCUUGUCUAGCGAAGUGGUGGUUCGUCGGUAACGUGAGGAAAUGACUCUCGGCAACGGAUAUCUCGACUCUUGUCACGAUGAAGAACAUAGGGAAAUGCGAUACUUAGUGUGAAUUGCAGAAUCCCGUGAAUCAUCGAGUUUUUGAACGCAAUUUGCGCCCGAGGCCUCGGUCAAGGGCACGUCUAUCUGGGCAUCACAUACUACAUACAUGUGCUCCCUACAAGGCAUGGGGGAGGAGCGGAGAUGGUCGACCGUUCCCAACGUGGUUCGGUCGACUGAAAUACAUGCCAUGUUCUGUGUCUUGUGUCGACGAGUGGUGAUAUUGUCCCCUAGGGGUCUGCGUCCUGAACCCAUGGGCUGUCAGUAGUCUGCCCGAGCUGCUAUCGCGGCGAGGGUGGGCAGUCGUGUGCUGAUUGGGCUACGGACGUAGAAUGUCCUCUCGCGGGGGAUUUUCCCUAGGCGGCGAACAGUCGACUCAGAACUGGUACGAACAAGGGGAAUCCGACUGUUUAAUUAAAACAAAGCAUUGCGAUGGUCCCUACAGAUGCUAACGCAAUGUGAUUUCUGCCCAGUGCUCUGAAUGUCAAAGUGAAGAAAUUCAACCAAGCACGGGUAAACGGCGGGAGUAACUAUGACUCUCUUAAGGUAGCCAAAUGCCUCGUCAUCUAAUUAGUGACGCGCAUGAAUGGAUUAACGAGAUUCCCACUGUCCCUAUCUACUAUCUAGCGAAACCAUAGCCAAGGGAACGGGCUUGGAAGAAUCAGUGGGGAAAGAAGACCCUGUUGAGCUUGACUCUAGUCUGACUUUGUGAAAUGACUUGAGAGGUGUAGAAUAAGUGGGAGCCAUUUUCGGCGCAAGUGAAAUACCACUACUUUUAACGUUAUUUUACUUAUUCCGUGGGGCGGAGACGGGGCAUUGCCCCUAUUUUUGGCCUUAAGACACGUUUCGACGAGUCGAUCCGGGCGGAAGACAUUGUCAGGUGGGGAGUUUGGCAGGGGCGGCACAUCUAUUAAAAGAUAAUGCUGGUGUCCUAAGAUGAGCUCAACGAGAACAAAAAUCUCGUGUGGAACAAAAGGGUAAAAGCUCAUUUGAUUUUGAUUUUCAGUACGAAUACAAACCGUAAAAGUGUGGCCUAUCGAUCCUUUAGACUUUCGGAAUUUGAAGCUAGAGGUGUCAGAAAAGUUACCACAGGGAUAACUGGCUUGUGGUAGCCAAGCGUUCAUAGAGACGUUGCUCUUUGAUCCUUCGAUGUCGGCUCUUCCUAUCAUUGUGAAGCAGAAUUCACCAAGUGUUGGAUUGUUCACCCACCAAUAGGGAACGUGAGCUAGGUUUAGACCAUCGUGAGACAGGUUAGUUUUACCCUACUGAUGAACCGCGCCACAAUAGUAAUUCAACUUAGUACGAGAGGAACCGUUGAUUCACACAAUUGGUCAUCGUGCUUGGUUGAAAAUCCAGUGGCGCAAAGCUACUGUGUGUCAGAUUAUGACUGAAUGCCUCUAAGUCAGAAUCCACGCUAGAAGCGGCACUUGUCACUCCUCGACUGUAUCUUGACCCAUAGUAGGGGUGUCACUUCGGCACCCCCAGGGGCCCGUGUCACUUGUGAACCUCGACCGGGAAGCGUCUCGGUCGGGGCAGCUUUGAAGUUCAAUUUCAAACGGUCGUUGAGAAGAAUCAUUUGCCGAUGACUUAAAUACACGACGGGGUAUUGUAAGUGGAAGAAUGGCCUUGAUUCCACGAUC